RNAcentral lists this ribosomal RNA (270 nucleotides) under uncultured archaeon. Its description in RNAcentral is "partial 16S ribosomal RNA". It matches the Rfam family "Archaeal small subunit ribosomal RNA", at positions 477 to 747 of the family's 1478-position model. The record is from RNAcentral.
CAGCACCUCAAGUGGUCAGGAUGAUUAUUGGGCCUAAAGCAUCCGUAGCCGGCUCUGUAAGUUUUCGGUUAAAUCUGUACGCUCAACGUACAGGCUGCCGGGAAUACUGCAGAGCUAGGGAGUGGGAGAGGUAGACGGUACUCGGUAGGAAGGGGUAAAACCCUUUGAUCUAUUGAUGACCACCUGUGGCGAAGGCGGUCUACCAGAACACGUCCGACGGUGAGGGAUGAAAGCUGGGGGAGCAAACCGGAUUAGAUACCCGAGUAGUCC